UACGUAGGCAGCAAGCGUUGUUCGGAGUUACUGGGCGUAAAGGGUGCGUAGGCGGCUGUUUAAGUUUGGUGUGAAAUCUCCCGGCUCAACCGGGAGGGUGCGCCGAAUACUGAGUGGCUAGAGUGCGGGAGAGGAAAGUGGAAUUCCUGGUGUAGCGGUGAAAUGCGUAGAUAUCAGGAGGAACACCGGUGGUGUAAACGGCUUUCUGGACCGUAACUGACGCUGAGGCACGAAAGCGUGGGUAGCAAACAGG
This 253-nucleotide ribosomal RNA is filed under the name uncultured bacterium. RNAcentral describes it as "partial 16S ribosomal RNA". It matches the Rfam family "Bacterial small subunit ribosomal RNA", at positions 524 to 776 of the family's 1533-position model. RNAcentral also lists the same sequence under 1 other name. The record is from RNAcentral.